Molecule: unclassified non-coding RNA, 390 nt
Filed under: soil metagenome
Description: partial contains 5.8S ribosomal RNA, internal transcribed spacer 2, and large subunit ribosomal RNA
Rfam family: 5.8S ribosomal RNA (bases 1-122)
Source: RNAcentral
GAUGAAGAACGCAGCGAAAUGCGAUACUUGGUGUGAAUUGCAGAAUCCCGUGAACCAUCGAGUCUUUGAACGCAAGUUGCGCCCGAAGCCAUUAGGCCGAGGGCACGCCUGCCUGGGCGUCACACGUCGUUGCCCCCCCAUCUACUCCUUCGGGAUUGCGGGGGGCGGAUGAUGGCCUCCCGUGCGCCUCGUCGCGCGGUUGGCAUAAAUGCCAAGUCCUCGGCGACACACGCCACGACAAUCGGUGGUUGCGAAACCUCGGUUGCCCGUCGUGUGCGGUCGUCGCGCAUCGAGGGCUCGAAAAAUUGCCGGGCUCCGGCUCGGCUUUCAACGCGACCCCAGGUCAGGCGGGGUUACCCGCUGAAUUUAAGCAUAUCAAUAAGCGGAGGA